This is a long non-coding RNA of Callithrix jacchus (white-tufted-ear marmoset), 1396 nucleotides long. RefSeq lists it as uncharacterized. The record is from RefSeq and is a predicted model, not a curated record. Lineage: Eukaryota; Metazoa; Chordata; Mammalia; Primates; Cebidae.
UGUUACAAAGUUCAGCUAGAGAAUUCCUUCGCCCUGUGGAGUUUUACCCGCUGCUCCUCUGGCCACCUUCCAGUUGGAUCGCCGUGGUACCAGGCAGGAAUGGGCUGUAUGGGGAACCAGCGAGCUCCCAGGGCCUUUCUGCUGCUUCCUCUACCCCUGUAUUUCGCUCAGCUUGGCUCUCUAACUUGACUCAGCUCCAGAUCCUUUCCACAAUGUGAAUAUUUCCUGCAAUGGCUAGCCAAGAUUCUUCUACCAGUCAAAACUAAGCGCAAGAUGACCACAUUUUUUAAUUUGCAUGAUAUUUUUUUCAUUUUGAAGAAACCGACGUCCUGCCAACACUGAACCUAAAACCAUACUUAUUCCAGAAGAUGAGGCUGCAUUCUCAAAUGUGUAAAAGAGCAGCAAACAAGAAGUGCCAAGAUGCAGAAGCCACGUUUCCCCUUUUAAACUCAUUUGUCUACGUGCGAAGAGGUUGAGACCUCCAGAAGUUGAAUCCGUGGCAGCCUCACAGGGCACCCAUUCCCCAUGUGUCCCUACACUGGACCAAGAAUGUGAGAGAAGCACAACCCUCUGGCAUGUUCUCUAUCCAGGACGUCCUAAGGACCCUCAUUCUCACUGAUGGACUGUGGCUUCUUGUAGUACACAGAUGCAACUGACUCAAGAGAAUUCCCCAAGGGUUUUGUGAUAGAAUAUUAGUCUGAUGGAGAAGAUUCCAUAAACAUGUCAUCUAGCACCAUGCUAGGCUCUGAGAGGAACACCGUGUUCAAGAUACCUACCCUUCAGGGAUCCUCCCAUUGCAGCGAAGAACACCCAUGAUCAACACAUCAUCAACAAAAUCAUUCCACAGAGCAGAUGGGUCGAGUCACAUGGAAAAGUCGCUUGGAGGCAGCAGGGAAGGGCAGCCUUUAUCUGGUGAGCCCCCGGGGCAGGGAAGUGGGCAUCUAUGCAGAGAUCUGGGCGUGGGCUGGUGGAACAGAAGGGAGAGACAUGUGGCCAGGCUACAGCCAAAUAGAAGGCCAGUGAGGAGGGGAGAAGUCGGUGGAUCAGGUCAUGCCUUAAUAGGUCUUGGUAGGAACUGUGGCUCUUGCUCUAAUUGCGCUGGGAAAGCACCUAUGCGCGGUAAGCAGGGGAGGGAAAACGUGUGGUUUAUGCUUUUGGAAGACACCCUUGACUGCCACAUGGGGAGUGGACAGGAGCUGGACAAGGCUGCUAUUUCGCCUCCGCGGAAGCCCAGAUGAGAGAGAUGGACAAGGGUGGCCCCACUAGGUGCGGAGGCGGAGGCAGCGGCAGCGGCAGCGACAGAGACAGAGGCAGUCCUGUUUGGAUCUGUGUGGGAGGUACUCAGGGGCCGUGGCGCACAGCUGAGGAGUGCUGGCAGUGUGGCACUCAGGGCUUU